ACCAAAAGAAAGAAAGAAAGAUAGGAAAUCCAACUGCAGGCCACUGUAAAGUUCCUAGAAAAACACCAUACAUGUGUUAAGGAUUCUACAAGGCUAUUGACUGACUGGAACUUUGUAAUGGUGAGAAGUUGGGAUGCUGCUCAUCUCGAGCCAAGUGAUUCUAAGUCAUUUUUAAUCCCUUUGUGAGCCAUUCACUGCCCAAGUCUGUAUCUGUCCUUACAUCCUCGGUUGGGGUAAACUUUUCAAAACUCUAGUAGCUGGGCAGGUGACCAGCUUCUGCCACCCUCAAAGCUAAGAAUGCCAUCUGCAGCAUCUGACGUCUGCUGCAGAAAUGUCCUCUCUCUGCUGCUCUUCCUGCUGACUAUUUCUACCCGUUUGUUUUUAAGCCUUGAUUUACAACCGUCUUAAUUACUUGUGUAAUUGUAAACACUCACAAAAUUGAUUCCGCAUUAGAAUGUGUUAUUUGACACAAAGCUGAAUUCUUGUUCCUGGACUAUCGUCAUUCACACUCGGCUUAAGAAUAGACCCUUAUGCCCUCUGAGGUGGCAUCUGUCUUUUACAGCAAACAGAAUAGUAUCCUUGUAUUGAUGACAUAGCCAAGACGAGGGUACAUCAGAGACAGAAAUGAAGGAAGGGGAUGGCUCCAGUGGGUGAAGGCACAAGAGUGGGAUUCUCAGUUUGAAUAGUAUAGGAUCCAUAGGUGUUACUCAAAGGCAACCAAUGAAGAAGUGUGAUAUAAAUGAAUGAGUCCAGGGGUUGGGGAUUUAGCUCAGCGGUAGAGCGCUUGCCUAGCAAGCGCAAGACCCUGGGUUCGGUCCCCAGUUCCGAAAAAAAGAAAGAAAAAAAUGAAUGAGUCCAUUAGUUUAAUUAUUCAUUAGUUAAUAAGUUAUGGUGAUGAAUGGUGUGUGUACACGCAUGCGUGCGUGUGCAUGCUAAACCUCUAAACCGCAGGCUUUGGACAUGCCAGGCAAACCCUCUUCUAAUCAAGCUACGUCUCCAGACAGAAAGUUAUUUUUAAGAAUAGAAACAAGACUAGAAUGGCAGGACUGUGCCCCAGAGGGCAUUUCCCUUAGGAUAUAGAGAAGUCAGCACCCCAUGGCUAAUUCAGGGCUUCGUGCCCUGAUGAGAUUUGGUCCUUUGCCAAAGGUUUCUGGAAGAACACUCAUAUGUACUUGCAUUUCUCUCAGCUGUAAGUCAUUGCUAGGCAUUUUCUGGACCUGUUUUACAGUAAUCACAACCACGGGAUUCAUGGCUUCACCUACUGUAUAGCUUUUGGUCUGUGUAGCCACGUUUACGUUUUCUGUCAAGGGCACUUUGGUCUUCUCUUGCCUGUUCAGUGAGUGUGGGAAAGUGAACUUGGCUUUAGAUUCAGACGUCCCGACCGGCUGGUGGGGCUGGCCUCAGCCUCAUGGCUGUUCUCUGAAGGGCUGUAGUCAGGUCUGCUAGAAUACAGGCUGUAACCAGUCGGCUACGUAGGUAAGGGACUUGGGGCAUCAUAUUCAUGGCUUUUCUUCUAGUAGCUACCAAACACACUUAAAAAAAAACAACAGGAAAGAGAGGUUUUGUUUGGGGUCACAGUUUGAGGUGAUACGGUUCCCUGUGGCAGGGGAAGGCAUGUGGAGGGAACAUGGAAACAGAUGGUCACGUCCCAUAGUCAGGUAGCGGAAAGAUGAGCUGGUGUUCAGACUGCUUCCUACUUCCGUUUCACUCUGUCAUCCCUAUCCUACCCCAGUCCGUGGAGGAUCCUCCCACAUUCAGAGCAGAUCUUUACCUAAGCUAAUCCUCAGCAAUCCUUCCGAAAUGCUCUCAUGGGAGCACCCAGAAGUGUGUCUCCUGGGUAAUUUCAACCCCAGCCAAGCAGACAAUGGAGAUCAAGCAGGACCCAUGUAGCCAAUCCGUAGGUCUGACCACACCCUCCAGCAGGGCAGUGAACCCCAGUUCAUCAUUUCAGCACACCCAUCCCUAUUGGCCAGGAGACCUUAAGUAAGCUUCUCUCCCCUCUCCCUUAUCCACUUUCCUAUCUGACCACUACCCUACAUCUAGUAGGCAGUAGCCCCUUCUGCACCCAUUACCAAGAGUCUCACUAAGACCCGGCCACCCCUAGGGCUGCUCGGUCACUGCGCAUGCUCACAGUUUACCCCUUCUGGGACGGUAGCGGCUCAUUUCGUGCUUUGUCCUGACUCCACUUUCCCAGAUUUUUGGGCACCUGUUUUCUUCUCUUGUUCCCAACCUAGCUCACCUCCUGGCAUUUCCAGAACACAUUUGCUAUUGACUUUCCCUGCCUAGUCUCAACACAUGACCUUGUUCCAACUCCAAAUCCUCACUCGGUCCUCUGACUCUAGCCACCCACCACUGUUUCUGUAUAGACCAGCAGGUGACCCACUGCAGUACGCUGUAGCCAAUAGGAGAAAUGGGACAUCAAGGCCAUGGCUUGUUAGAGAUUUUGCUUCUGCGUGUGUGGUAGUCCAUCUUUGAAGGAGGUCAGGGAUAAAGUCUAGGCAGGAACUUAAGCAGAACCCAUGGAAGAAUGCUGCUUGAUGUGCCAGACGUCGCCACCCACCAACACCCCACCCCCUACCUGCCGCUCCCCGACACACCCUGUGGGCUGAGCCUGGCCACCUCAGUCGUUAAUUAAGAAAAUGUCCUAUAGACAGCCUGGAUGGAGACAUUUUUCUUAACUGAGAUUGCUCUUCCGGGAUAACUCUAGCUUGUGUCAAGUUGACAGAAGAAAAAGAAAAAAAGACCCUACUCAGGUCAGCAUGUUAUAUUAAUAAGCUGUUUGCUCUCCUAGAAACUCAGUUUUGUUUCCGUACUGUAGAUUAGGCUGCUGAGGCCUGGAGAUGUCCAGUAACUUGCCAAGGAUCAGCCAACCAGAGUUCUGAAUGCAAACCCCAGAGUCCAGGGUCUUCGCUGCUACAGCCCCUCCCUAAGAGUUGCUGAGCACCUGGGCCUGAAGAGAAACCUGAAUUCCUCUGGCUUGAUCUCCUUCCUGAUACCUGGUAAAAGGAGGCCAUCUAUGUAUGGGAAGGCCUGGGUUGUUAAGUGGUGGUUAUCUACGUCAGUUUCCUAUGACAAAGGACAGCAUGCCGUUGGCUAAAAAUGACAGAAACUCAUUGUCUCUGAGUCAUUGAAGGUCAGAUCCAAAGUCAGGGUGUUGUUCCCUCCAGACCUCCAGGGAGGAAUUUGUCUGGGGAGGGUGGUGUGUGUGUGUGUGGGGGGGGGUUGUUCGGGAUUGUUUUGGUUUUUUAUCUUUUAGGGUAGCCUCAGUUAUUCUUUGGCUCUCAGCCACAAGCUCCCAUCUGUUUGUCUAGGGGCUCAGGCCUUUUCUUCCUCUUUUUAUGGAGGCAACACCCAGAUUCCAGCUAGAUUCCAGCUGCCUCAGUUCACUGUGGGCCUCAUCUUGGUCCAAGUGCACCUGAAAAUUCUGAAUUUCCAAAUACAACCUCACUCACAAGUACUGAGGCCCAGGGCUUCUGCACAUCUUUCCAGGAUCUACACCUACACAGUUCUCCAUACGUCUACGGAGUUCCUCUUGUGGAACAUUGCCCAUGUGUGUUGCUCUCUGUAUGUGGAAACCAAUCAUAAGACUGUGUAUCGAGGCAACUUUCAGGACAGAGACUACUUUCUGUAUUCCAAAACCUAGAAGGUCUUCAAAAGAACUUAUAUAUGUCUUUGACUUAAACUUAUUAUGUCAUCUCCAUAUCCAAUUAUGGAGUCAGAGAAGGAGAGAUGGUUCAGCGGUUAAGAGCACUUGCUGUUUGUUCGAAGACCUAAGUUCGAUUCCCAGCAUCCACAUGAUGGUUCACAACCAUCUGUAACUUCAGUUCUCUACACUCUCUCUCACCUCCAGAGGCACUGGGAAUGUAUGUGGUUUACAGGGAUAUAUGCAGAAAAAAUGCUCAUACCUGUAAAAAUAAAAUAAUUCUAAAAAAAUCAAAAACAUAUUAUUUUCACCCCAGUGAUAUUUAUAAUCUUUGUUUUUAACCCAUUAAAAUUAAUUUAAAGACAGAGAUAAGCAUUUUAGACAGAUAGUCAUAACUUUCUUUCAAGAUUUUAUUUUCCCCUGUGAAACAAACUAAUCUUAUUCCGCAAGUGAAGGGGACACUUAAGGGCUCUUUGGAAAGUCAGUUGGGUUGGACGGCCUUUUGCUAGGGCAAAGACGUGGAGUGUUUUCUCGAGGUGGACACAAGAGAAAGGCCGUUUUGCUGAGGCAGACUCGUGAGGGAAUGUGUCGCUGAAGCAGACACAGGUGAAAGGAUGCUCUGCUAAAGCAAACUCGUGAAAGGACUCGAUAAAGAAUGCUUUGCUAAUGGCACUCGUGCGUUGCUCUGCCUUACAUUGCUCAGUUGAGCUCCUUUUACUGGGACUCCAUAGAGAGAAAUGCACCAAAAAGCUUCUGGCAGUGUGCGACAGCCUCUUACAGCUUCUGCGAACUCACACUGAUGGGCAGAGUGAAGUCAGCUGACAUAGGCUCAUGCGCUGAGGCAAGACCCACGGAAGACACACGAUGUUUGGAGGGCAUAUAAAUAGAACUCAACUAACAGACUGUGAGAGGGGCUUGGUUUACUGCAUAGCUAACCGCUUCUUGGUCUCAAGUCUUCCCUGAUCUUUGCUUUGUUGAGAGAGACACAGCCAAGAACUGUUCCUGGCAUCCCUGCUGGUCUGUAGCCCUCCUGCUGCUGACUCAUGCUGACUCAUGCCUGUUCUGCUGAGGCCUGGCCUUCCCUGCUAGGUCACACCACCACUGCUGCUCUCAACACUACCAAACUGGACUGCUGGUAUAUCCGUGAAGUGUUUGGCCUUGGUGGUACUCCUGGAGGUGCCCCUCCCACAUUCAUCCCUGUGAGCAGCUCAUACCUCUCUCUCCUUUCUUCCCUUGUCACAUCCCUGGGAAGGCUGACAGAGUCUCUGGGUAAGUCACUUCUUGUCACACACACAGUUCUGGCAAACCAAUUUCAAAUCCAUUAGCAUAAAGUUGCCCUUGAUAUACUCUGUAAUUCCUUGUUCUGCCUACGAAGGAAUAUGUGGAAGCUGGUCACUUCUGGAGAGAUGAGGCAGCCAGGUAUUGACUGCAGAGAGACCUGAGGGACCGGAGACUGCUAACAUUCUGGGUCUUGGGUGUGGUUUGUACAGGUGGCUCUGUGGAAGCUCAGCAAACGGCAUAUAAGCAAGCAUCUCAUGUGACACGUGUGUCCCUUAUAUGGCACAUGUGUUAUGACUAGUGGCUUUGGGUUUGCUGUCCUUGUUGUUUUCAGUUUUGUUUUGUUGCUGUUUUUUGUUUUUAGGUGAAGGGAAUGUCUACAUUAGCGUUUGCUCUUCUGAACAAAGAGAGCACAGAAAGACGGUUCUCUCUCGUCCACUUUGCUGUCUUCCGGAGGUCCUUACACUAUGGCCUGGUGGGCUCCCUGGCAGCUGUGUCCUUGCCUCUCUCUCCCCACCCCUUUGGAAACCUGGCUCUGUGAGCUGCCUAUUUAUUUACUUCUCUGGAAUUUCCGUCGCGAUGGUUCAGUGGGGCGGUUGCCGGGGGCCUGGGGCUGUUGGGCGUAUCAUCGGUACAAUAAUGUGUAUGUGUGUCCCCAGCUUUGCAAAAUUUAUAUGAAGGGAAUUAAAUCCAAACUAACUGCCGAGAUCAUCGUCCUUACCCUUGGCUUUUCCAGGGCCCUUGGGCAGAACCCUAGCCUGGGCAUAUUCCAAGAAGGAUAAAUUUAAUAUUAAUGAUAAUAAUACUUUGCACUUGGUCUAGUGAAAAUAUUUUGAAUGCAGCAAAGGCUGGGAAGCGAAUGUUUGCUUGGUGCGGUGGGUCAGGAAGCGCCUCUGCUUGUUUAUUAUGGUAGGGCUUUGUGUACAGAAACUAUUUUUCUCCUUUCUCACCGCCCGGGGCCAUAUUUCUUGUUGCUCGCUACAUCCAGAGUUUUACAGGAAGCCGCCACUCAUAUUUAAAUGGCAUGUUUUUAAAACAUGUCUGUAAAUAGCUGAAGACAGAUCGGCCGUAGGUGUGGCGUCGUCUCCUAUCCUCUCUGUCGGGAUUCUUUGUUCCACUCGAAAUCACAUCUCCGUCCCUGCGAGAUGGGGGAACUUUAAACUCAGCAUAGCCAGGAAGUUGGGAGACCCACGCUGUGAAUCGGUGGUGGCUGGAAGAUUCCCAGAGGAAGAGGGAGGAGUCUCUUCUCAACUGGAGGUUGAAGCAGUAGCCAGAGAUGUCAUACAAAUGCACAAAGAGCUUUCUUCGAGAUCCUCUGCUUCCUCCAGAGCCUGCCUCCCUGAAGUGAUUCUAUGGCAACAACAAAACAGCCUCGCCAGGAUGGAGGUGAGCUGCACACCUCCAUCUCCCAGCAGCAGGCCCCUUGGCUGCAUGCUUUGCCGUCCGUCUCCAGCCCUGACAGUGGCAUGAUGUAUUAUUCAGGCUAGAAUCACCCAAGGGGCACCCUCUCCAGAUCUAACUCACUCUAAUUCUGGAUGCUGCUCCACCUUGGGCCCCUGCUGCAUUUGAAGGCACAGAUCUUGCUCCAGCAAAUUUGGCUAAGACUCAUCCAGGGUGACUGACAUAUUGCACCUGUAAACCAGAGAACUUUAAGUGUGUGCGCCCAGGAACAUGGCAGUGAACCUGCUUAGAUGGUCUUUAGGAGGAAAGCUAGUUAUGUGUAUAGUCUACAGAAGCUUAACCCCUUGUUAAAAAAAGAGUAGGGGAGUACAGUUUAAGAUGGUGUAUUUUUCACACCUCUCCUAUAGUUUGGAUCUGGACUAUCCCUUGGGGGCCUGUGUGUAAAGUCUUGGUUUCCAUAUUGAUGUUAUCAGGAGGCAGUGGGAGCUUUAGGAAAUGAAGCCUGUUCAGUUUGUAUAAUGUUACCUGCAUGUAUGUUACCUGCAUGUAUGUUAAGCAAUUGGUGUGCUCUUCUCUGGAGACGACUGUUUUUCCCACUCCCAGCAUUCCUUAAUUGCUUGAAGGUUAUAAUAUAUGUAACAUAUUAUAAUAUAUAUCAUUUUAUAUUGCGCCAUUAUUAUAUACUUAUAUAUUAUAUAUUUGUGUUAUUAUGUUAUAUAAUAAUAAAUUAAUUACAUAUAUUAUAUAUAUUAACAAUCAAUUACAAAGACAGGUAUAUAGGAGGACUUGGAAGACAGAAAGGGAAAGGGAAAAUAAUAUAUCUCAGAAAAUAAAAAAUAAAAAUUUUAAACUAUAUAAAUGAGGGGAGUGAUGCCUAAUAUGGAGUCUUUUGUCGCUGGGCGAUGCGUUGGACCCUCCUGUGAGACCUCAGCCUCCUCCUCCUUUCUUUGCUCCAUUGGCCACUACAAGCCCAGAGCUGCAAUGCCAACCAAGAUCUCCAAGACUGCGAGCCAACAUACACUUUUCCUCUUUGCAAACUGGCUUCAUAAGGUGACAGAAAACUGAUGGAUACUUUCUAAGUCUCAGUAAGAAUGAAGAAAAUGGUGAGCAGGGCCAAGCACCUGCCUAGCAUGCGUGGGGUUCCAAGUUCAAGCCCUGGCACAGCAAGAAAAUCGAAGCACAGUCUCUGAUCUGCCUUGCAGCAAUGAGACCCUCACUUCAAGGCCUUGCCCUGUAGCCUUAAGAGAAGAACAAUGAAGGAUCCACCAUGGCCCAGCAUGGACGUUGUUCAGUCACAUUUUCACUGAUGUUCAUGGUUUCUUCAUACCCAUGUAAUGAGACCUUCAUAAAGUCAAAUGGGGCAGUGUAUAGAGACCAUCUAGGGGUUCCUGAUGGGGUUCUCAAAGAGAGCGUGAGAGUGCAGCAACCCUUCUCCCAGACCUUAACUGCUUUAUCUGUAUCCUUUAAAAUAAAAGUUGUAGUUCUC
This 7808-nucleotide small RNA is filed under the name Rattus norvegicus (Norway rat). RNAcentral's name for it is "uncharacterized LOC102549305". Lineage: Eukaryota; Metazoa; Chordata; Mammalia; Rodentia; Muridae. The record is from RNAcentral.